This 311-nucleotide ribosomal RNA is filed under the name Clostridium botulinum. RNAcentral describes it as "bacterial SSU rRNA". It matches the Rfam family "Bacterial small subunit ribosomal RNA", at positions 1 to 309 of the family's 1533-position model. The record is from RNAcentral. Lineage: Bacteria; Bacillati; Bacillota; Clostridia; Eubacteriales; Clostridiaceae.
UUUAAAUUUAGAGUUUGAUCCUGGCUCAGGACGAACGCUGGCGGCGUGCUUAACACAUGCAAGUCGAGCGAUGAAGCUUCCUUCGGGAAGCGGAUUAGCGGCGGACGGGUGAGUAACACGUGGGUAACCUGCCUCAAAGUGGGGGAUAGCCUUCCGAAAGGAAGAUUAAUACCGCAUAAUAUAGGAGAAUCGCAUGAUUUUCUUAUCAAAGAUUUAUUGCUUUGAGAUGGACCCGCGGCGCAUUAGCUAGUUGGUAAGGUAACGGCUUACCAAGGCAACGAUGCGUAGCCGACCUGAGAGGGUGAUCGGCC